GUGGUUGUGGCUCAGUGGUGGAGUGCUUGCCUAGCACAUGUGAGGCCCUGGGUUUGAUCCUCAGCACCACA
RNAcentral lists this transfer RNA (71 nucleotides) under Marmota monax (woodchuck). RNAcentral's name for it is "tRNA.Ala". The record is from RNAcentral. Lineage: Eukaryota; Metazoa; Chordata; Mammalia; Rodentia; Sciuridae.